UACGUAGGGCGCAAGCGUUGUCCGGAAUUAUUGGGCGUAAAGAGCUCGUAGGCGGUUUGUCACGUCUGCUGUGAAAUUUCGGGGCUCAACCCCGAACUUGCAGUGGGUACGGGCAGACUAGAGUGUGGUAGGGGAGACUGGAAUUCCUGGUGUAGCGGUGAAAUGCGCAGAUAUCAGGAGGAACACCGAUGGCGAAGGCAGGUCUCUGGGCCACUACUGACGCUGAGAAGCGAAAGCAUGGGGAGCGAACAGG
RNAcentral lists this ribosomal RNA (253 nucleotides) under uncultured bacterium. RNAcentral's name for it is "partial 16S ribosomal RNA". It matches the Rfam family "Bacterial small subunit ribosomal RNA", at positions 524 to 776 of the family's 1533-position model. The record is from RNAcentral.